GACGAACGCUGGCGGCGUGCUUAACACAUGCAAGUCGAACGGAAAGGCCCUGCUUUUGUGGGGUGCUCGAGUGGCGAACGGGUGAGUAACAUGUGAGUAACCUGCCCUUGACUUUGGGAUAACUUCAGGAAACUGGGGCUAAUACCGGAUAGGAGCUCCUGCUGCAUGGUGGGGGUUGGAAAGUUUCGGCGGUUGGGGAUGGACUCGCGGCUUAUCAGCUUGUUGGUGGGGUAGAGGCUUACCAAGGCUUUGACGGGUAGCCGGCCUGAGAGGGUGACCGGCCACAUUGGGACUGAGAUACGGCCCAGACUCCUACGGGAGGCAGCAGUGGGGAAUAUUGCACAAUGGGCGGAAGCCUGAUGCAGCAACGCCGCGUGCGGGAUGACGGCCUUCGGGUUGUAAACCGCUUUCGCCUGUGACGAAGCGUGAGUGACGGUAAUGGGUAAAGAAGCACCGGCUAACUACGUG
This 468-nucleotide ribosomal RNA is filed under the name uncultured bacterium. RNAcentral's name for it is "partial 16S ribosomal RNA". It matches the Rfam family "Bacterial small subunit ribosomal RNA", at positions 28 to 507 of the family's 1533-position model. The record is from RNAcentral.